RNAcentral lists this ribosomal RNA (309 nucleotides) under Paenibacillus sp. P14E. RNAcentral's name for it is "bacterial SSU rRNA". It matches the Rfam family "Bacterial small subunit ribosomal RNA", at positions 60 to 355 of the family's 1533-position model. Lineage: Bacteria; Bacillati; Bacillota; Bacilli; Caryophanales; Paenibacillaceae. RNAcentral also lists the same sequence under 3 other names. The record is from RNAcentral.
AGUCGAGCGGACUUGAAGAGAAGCUUGCUUCUCUGAUGGUUAGCGGCGGACGGGUGAGUAACACGUAGGCAACCUGCCCUCAAGUUUGGGACAACUACCGGAAACGGUAGCUAAUACCGAAUAAUUGUUUUCUUCGCCUGAAGGAAACUGGAAAGACGGAGCAAUCUGUCACUUGGGGAUGGGCCUGCGGCGCAUUAGCUAGUUGGUGGGGUAACGGCUCACCAAGGCGACGAUGCGUAGCCGACCUGAGAGGGUGAUCGGCCACACUGGGACUGAGACACGGCCCAGACUCCUACGGGAGGCAGCAGU